GCGAAUCUGUAAUAAUUUCCUUAGGCUCAUCCAGAUUCGUCCUCACUUACCCAGUUUAUGGGGCAUAAAUUCUUAGAUACACAAUCUAUAGAAGAAUGUCAUUAACAACAUAAAUCUGAAAACAAUUUAUGUCCUCCGCUAUCUUACCGCUUCGGUUUCUCAAAACCUUGUCUAAGUAGUCUGGUUUGCUUAAGAGAGCUGCAGGGAACCCAGUGUCCGGGUUUAACAGCCCAUUGAGAGAAACGGGCCACGUGCUGGCUUGCGGAAAGCUGUUGCUUUUCACCUGGAGCCUGGAAGCAGCCCCUCUGUGCCGCUAAAACUUUUCAGAGUGCACAGGCGGGAAAGUAACAUAGUAGGGAAUGAAGGACUCCCUCUUGAUUCCUUACAGUUCUCUUUUGGUUCUCAAACUGACCUCCACACACAGAGGGCAGGGAGAGAUGGAAAAAACAGCAGCCACUUCCCAGAUGCGUGGGUGGCAGGUUUAAUCAGCCACGGAGCUUCCACACGAGUUUUGUCCCGCACAGCGGCAACUCCAGUAGGUCUCCUCAUCUGCCCGCCAGAAUCUUCCAAGUUCACCUACGGCACAGACGGUCUCAGCAACACGGCGCUCUCUCUAAGCUGUGUCCAUGGAAAAGGCUCCCCCGCUAGGAAUGGUGGGCAGAACGUGCAAGCGGAGAGGGGGCGUGACGAGCUUCCCAUUGCGCAGAUCCAGCUCUCGAGUCAACAAGCCGUCAUGUUCUCCCGAUGACCCCCUUCCAAUACUCUGCCCCCUCGUGCGGCCUCGAGGUCAAUUCGUUAGAUUCUGGCAGGCAGGUGCAGAGGUCUACUCCAGCUGCGGGCGCGCAGGACAAGCCCCACACCCGAGCUCUCCGGCUUGUUAAGGCGACCACCUACUGGUCUGGAGUGGCUGCCUCCUUCCUCCGUCUCUCGCUGCCCUCUGCGUGGGGGGGUCAGAUUCAGAUGACCCCAGCGAAGUUUCUGAGGCUGAGAAAACAUUUCCACCCACGUAAAACACAAGUGCGGAAGAGUAAAGAGAAGAAAAAGGAGCAUAACAGCACCAUGUACACCACCAGAAGAUGUGGCAAAGGGAGAGCACUCAAGAACACGGUUGCUAUGAAUGGAUGGGUUUUCCCAAGUCCUCUCCUGAUGUUUGCUUCCCCUGAGGAUGGUAAUUUGGUGGUCACAUCCUUGUUGAGAAAGCUGAGCGCGAUGGAAGGCCAUUGAAGGCAAAUGGGGAGCAGCACCUUUGUUCAAUCUUUCUGAAAUUGUCACUGACAUGUAGAGGCUACAGUUGAGUGGGUGAUAAUAAAAGACAAAUGCAGGAU
Molecule: long non-coding RNA, 1325 nt
Filed under: Mustela putorius furo (domestic ferret)
Lineage: Eukaryota; Metazoa; Chordata; Mammalia; Carnivora; Mustelidae
Description: lncRNA (ENSMPUG00000026005.1)
Source: RNAcentral